RNAcentral lists this ribosomal RNA (468 nucleotides) under uncultured bacterium. Its description in RNAcentral is "partial 16S ribosomal RNA". It matches the Rfam family "Bacterial small subunit ribosomal RNA", at positions 28 to 507 of the family's 1533-position model. The record is from RNAcentral.
GACGAACGCUGGCGGCGUGCUUAACACAUGCAAGUCGAACGGUGAUGCUCCAGCUUGCUGGAGUGGAUCAGUGGCGAACGGGUGAGUAACACGUGAGCAACCUGCCCCAGACUCUGGAAUAAGCGCUGGAAACGGCGUCUAAUACUGGAUACGAAACUGGCCCGCAUGGGCAUGGUUUGGAAAGUUUUUCGGUUUGGGAUGGGCUCGCGGCCUAUCAGCUUGUUGGUGAGGUAAUAGCUCACCAAGGCGACGACGGGUAGCCGGCCUGAGAGGGCGACCGGCCACACUGGGACUGAGACACGGCCCAGACUCCUACGGGAGGCAGCAGUGGGGAAUAUUGCACAAUGGGCGAAAGCCUGAUGCAGCGACGCCGCGUGAGGGAUGACGGCCUUCGGGUUGUAAACCUCUUUCAGCAGGGAAGAAGCGAAAGUGACGGUACCUGCAGAAGAAGCACCGGCUAACUACGUG